CUUAUGCGUUGUUGGGUAGGGGAGCGUUCUGUAAGCCGUUGAAGGUGUGCUGUGAGGCAUGCUGGAGGUAUCAGAAGUGCGAAUGCUGACAUAAGUAACGAUAAAGCGGGUGAAAAGCCCGCUCGCCGGAAGACCAAGGGUUCCUGUCCAACGUUAAUCGGGGCAGGGUGAGUCGACCCCUAAGGCGAGGCCGAAAGGCGUAGUCGAUGGGAAACAGGUUAAUAUUCCUGUACUUGGUGUUACUGCGAAGGGGGGACGGAGAAGGCUAUGUUAGCCGGGCGACGGUUGUCCCGGUUUAAGCAUGUAGGCGGAACGAUUAGGUAAAUCCGGUCGUUUUUUAACGCUGAGGUGUGAUGACGAGGCACUACGGUGCUGAAGUAACAAAUGCCCUGCUUCCAGGAAAAGCCUCUAAGCAUCAGGUAACAUCAAAUCGUACCCCAAACCGACACAGGUGGUCAGGUAGAGAAUACCAAGGCGCUUGAGAGAACUCGGGUGAAGGAACUAGGCAAAAUGGUGCCGUAACUUCGGGAGAAGGCACGCUGAUAUGUAGGUGAAGCCCCUGCGGGUGGAGCUGAAAUCAGUCGAAGAUACCAGCUGGCUGCAACUGUUUAUUAAAAACACAGCACUGUGCAAACACGAAAGUGGACGUAUACGGUGUGACGCCUGCCCGGUGCCGGAAG
RNAcentral lists this ribosomal RNA (680 nucleotides) under Enterobacter roggenkampii. RNAcentral's name for it is "partial 23S ribosomal RNA". It matches the Rfam family "Bacterial large subunit ribosomal RNA", at positions 1213 to 1875 of the family's 2925-position model. Lineage: Bacteria; Pseudomonadati; Pseudomonadota; Gammaproteobacteria; Enterobacterales; Enterobacteriaceae. The record is from RNAcentral.